RNAcentral lists this ribosomal RNA (440 nucleotides) under uncultured bacterium. RNAcentral describes it as "partial 16S ribosomal RNA". It matches the Rfam family "Bacterial small subunit ribosomal RNA", at positions 338 to 795 of the family's 1533-position model. The record is from RNAcentral.
CCUACGGGAGGCAGCAGUGGGGAAUAUUGCACAAUGGGGGGAACCCUGAUGCAGCGACGCCGCGUGAGUGAAGAAGUAUUUCGGUAUGUAAAGCUCUAUCAGCAGGGAAGAAAAUGACGGUACCUGACUAAGAAGCCCCGGCUAACUACGUGCCAGCAGCCGCGGUAAUACGUAGGGGGCAAGCGUUAUCCGGAUUUACUGGGUGUAAAGGGAGCGUAGACGGCAGAGCAAGUCUGAAGUGAAAGCCCGGGGCCCAACUGCGGGACUGCUUUGGAAACUGCCCGGCUAGAGUGCUGGAGAGGUAAGCGGAAUUCCUAGUGUAGCGGUGAAAUGCGUAGAUAUUAGGAGGAACACCAGUGGCGAAGGCGGCUUACUGGACAGUAACUGACGUUGAGGCUCGAAAGCGUGGGGAGCAAACAGGAUUAGAUACCCGAGUAGUC